UGGGGCUGGACAUGUUUGUGUUAGAUUGAUCUGAAAGCAAUUUGGUUUCCCCACGUUCCACAUAGAUGAAACCCCUUUUGAUAGGACCCAAAUAAAACACUUUCUGUCCCUUACACACACUAAUACACACACAUGAACUGCUGAAGUCCCUGACAGUAAGGUUAGCGUUACUUGCAUUAACACACAGUCUUGUAUGUAGACCCUGAGUCCUGCACACAAAGACCCUCAUUUAGAGCCAGAACCACCAGCCAGAAGGAAAAGGAACAACUCCAAACAAGACACUAAUGAGAAGGAUGGAGGCACCAGAGGGCGCCGCAGUGCCAUUGAGGCCGAUAUGAAGAUGAAAAAGUGAACGGAGAUGUCGCACUGCUGCUGUUACGGAAGUUCAGAUAGGAUUUAUUUCCGUUUUGUUUAGAAGUUCUGGCUAAGCUUGACACAGCAAUUCGACAGUCUAAUUACAGAAGGACACAGAAAAAAGGGAAACUUUAAGGGCUUGACCCUCUUUCACAGAAACCCUUCAGUCCUAGACCUGAAAAACUGGCCAAAUGUGCUCUGAUUCUAGACUCACAGGACAGGACAAACUGACCUUGUGUUUGUUUGAGUUUAGGAGUUGCUUAAAAGUUUUUAAAUUGAUGUCACAAAUUCUAGCUGUCAUCACUGGCCUUUAAAAAAAAAAAACUGAAUGUACCCCUGUCAUGAAUCAGAAUGUUAUUUUCUAGAGUCAAGAAUGAAAUCUUACAAGCCAUUGUUCAUGAUGUGGAACCCUGAACGAUGGAGAAGGGAGCAAUAAAAGUAAGCUUUUUUCUUCUAUAGGAAUGAAGAUAGAUACAAAGCUUCUUUUAACUAGAUUUUUCCUAGUCAGGAUUAUGGAUGCUUUGAUUUACAGUUAAAGGUCUACUGUACUAUGUUCAGUUUGUUUUUGUUCUUUAAGUGAGAAUUAAUUUGACAUCUGUAUGUUUAGAAAGAACAUAUAGUUUUGUACAGGGUAUUUGUGUACAGUGUUUUUGUAUAUUGUGUCAUUAAAUGAUUUAAUAAAUAAACGAAAGUCUGGAAUUAUAAGAUAUAGUUUUAGGAAUAAUUUAUUCAACUUGUGCUUCAAAGCAAAAAAUAUUAGUACAAAUGCUUAACUGGGAGGACAAUACCAGCCUGUCCUUUUCAAAGUCUCACAUACACCCAAAAAAAAAAAAAAAACACUCAAUAUCCAUUAAAGACAUCAACAUGUAUCA
Molecule: long non-coding RNA, 1226 nt
Organism: Carassius auratus (goldfish)
Lineage: Eukaryota; Metazoa; Chordata; Actinopteri; Cypriniformes; Cyprinidae
Exons: 2
Source: RefSeq, a predicted model, not a curated record